Molecule: ribosomal RNA, 813 nt
Filed under: uncultured bacterium
Lineage: Bacteria
Description: bacterial SSU rRNA
Rfam family: Bacterial small subunit ribosomal RNA
Source: RNAcentral
GCGAACGGGUGCGUAACACGUGAGGAACCUGUCCCGAAGACUGGGAUAACACCGGGAAACCGGUGCUAAUACCGGAUACCUUCACCGGACCGCAUGAUCUGGUGAAGAAAUGAAUUUCGCUUCGGGAGGGCCUCGCGGCCUAUCAGCUUGUUGGUGGGGUAACGGCCUACCAAGGCAUCGACGGGUAGCUGGUCUGAGAGGACGACCAGCCACACUGGGACUGAGACACGGCCCAGACUCCUACGGGAGGCAGCAGUAGGGAAUCUUGCGCAAUGGGCGAAAGCCUGACGCAGCAACGCCGCGUGGGGGAUGAAGGCUCUCGGGUUGUAAACCCCUUUCGACAGGGACGAAAUUGACGGUACCUGUGGAAGAAGCCCCGGCCAACUACGUGCCAGCAGCCGCGGUAAUACGUAGGGGGCGAGCGUUGUCCGGAUUUAUUGGGCGUAAAGAGCUCGUAGGCGGCUUGGCAAGUCGGGUGUGAAAACUCCAGGCUCAACCUGGAGACGCCACUCGAUACUGCCAUGGCUAGAGUCCGGUAGGGGACCACGGAAUUUCUGGUGUAGCGGUGAAAUGCGCAGAUAUCAGAAGGAACACCGGUGGCGAAGGCGGUGGUCUGGGCCGGAACUGACGCUGAGGAGCGAAAGCGUGGGGAGCGAACAGGAUUAGGUACCCUGGUAGUCCACGCCGUAAACGUUGGGCACUAGGUGUGGGGACCUAUCGACGGUUUCCGUGCCGUAGCUAACGCAUUAAGUGCCCCGCCUGGGGAGUACGGCCGCAAGGCUAAAACUCAAAGGAAUUGACGGGGGCCCGCAC